Molecule: non-coding RNA, 933 nt
Organism: Vicugna pacos (alpaca)
Lineage: Eukaryota; Metazoa; Chordata; Mammalia; Artiodactyla; Camelidae
Source: RefSeq, a predicted model, not a curated record
CUGGGAGUUCCUGGUGUCGCCACCUCCCCUCCGGGGGCUGUAGAAGCUGAGGGCUUCGCUGUACAGAGGGAACCCCGGCCUCGGCAGGAGCAGCAGGAGGUUCAAGGGGUGCUGGUCAUGGAGGCCCCUGGGAGCAAAGGCGAGGGGCCCGGAGCUUGAAAAGCAGGAGGGCCGACACGCCCAGGGCUCUCCACCCGCCUGGGCCCCCUUGGCUGCCACCGGCCCAGAGUAGGGGGCCGUGACGCCACAAUCCCCUGGGCCCAGGGCCGUGGUUGAGAGACCGCAGAGCGCACCUCUCGCCUGGGCCCUGGGUCCUCUAACUGGGUGAAGCUUGGCCGGCUGCUGGGAUCCCCGGCCGGGAUGCACUUCAGCACUGUCACCAGGGACAUGGAAGGUGAGCCUCCCUGCUGAGUGAACUCAGAUCCUCUCGCCAGACCCCCUGCCCCUGCUGCGGUGGGGCCCAAGCAAAGAGGGUUGGCAGGGUCCGGGCGGAGAGUGGGUAGAGGGAGCACUGGUGGGAUGGGGCUUCCAGCUUGGACUCUGGGGCGGAGAGGAAGGGUGGGCAGGAUACCCCCUCCAGCCUGGGGACCCCAACGGAGAGACCCACACCCAGCUAGACGCAGGCCCAGAAUAAGGAGAGCAAGGGGGUGGAGGACAGGAGAGGAGGCCAGAGAAAGGGGGCAGAGGUGGCCGUGAGCUCGGAGAGGUGGGAGGAAUGGGGAGAGGACUGAGGUGGGACACGGAAAAGGAAGAGCGAACGGUGGGGGCGGUGGGAAGAAAAGAUACUGAGAAAAGGAGAGAAAACCAUAAAACGGAAAGAUGAAAAACAAAGCAGAGAGCAAGAACGAUAGAGAAGAAAGUGGGGAAAAUGGAAGAAACAAAGUCAAGUCACCAAAAAAAUUAGACUGCAGUUUUUAUUUUUUUAAAAAAAGA